GUGGGGAAUAUUGCACAAUGGGCGCAAGCCUGAUGCAGCAACGCCGCGUGAAUGAUGAAGGCCUUCGGGUCGUAAAGUUCUGUCCAAAGGGAAGAAUACAGUGACGGUACCUUUGGAGGAAGCCCCGGCUAACUACGUGCCAGCAGCCGCGGUAAUACGUAGGGGGCAAGCGUUAUCCGGAAUCACUGGGCGUAAAGGGAGCGUAGGCGGUUUGACAAGCCAGAGGUGAAAGGCAAUAGCUUAACUAUUGUAAGCCUUUGGAACUGUCGAACUUGAGUGCAGGAGAGGAAAGUGGAAUUCCUAGUGUAGCGGUGAAAUGCGUAGAUAUUAGGAGGAACACCAGUGGCGAAGGCGACUUUCUGGACUGUAACUGACGCUGAGGCUCGAAAGCGUGGGGAGCGAACAGGAUUAGAUACCCCGGUAGUCC
This 427-nucleotide ribosomal RNA is filed under the name uncultured bacterium. Its description in RNAcentral is "bacterial SSU rRNA". It matches the Rfam family "Bacterial small subunit ribosomal RNA", at positions 354 to 796 of the family's 1533-position model. The record is from RNAcentral.